Mirounga angustirostris (Northern elephant seal) is the source of this 5381-nucleotide long non-coding RNA. RefSeq lists it as uncharacterized. NCBI's taxonomy places the organism in Eukaryota, Metazoa, Chordata, Mammalia, Carnivora, Phocidae. The transcript is spliced from 2 exons. The record is from RefSeq and is a predicted model, not a curated record.
CAGGGCUGCAGGGAGAGCAAGCCGGCUGAGACUCUACACUGAGAACCCCCUCCGUCCCAAACUGUCGUGACCAUGGGCACGGACCCGCACGCCAGAGGGGGGGACGGAACGGUCCCUCCUCGCCUCUGCUUUCUGAUUCCUGAUAAACCGAUACAAACACUACAGCGAGUUCUCAACUUGUGACUCUUGCCAUGAAAACCAGAUGACAGAAGCAGGCGUCUGUUGGGCACAGUAAGAAGUCCUCACACCCCCACCCCGGGGGCCCCUACCUUGCUGUGGUGCUUUGGGUAGAAGAUCCAGCUUCGGCAAAACCCUGCCUCCUUCAUCUAUCUGCACCCUCCAAAUGACGACCAGCUCGAACCUGAAAGAGGGUGCAGAAAACCUGCAGUGCGGAGCCUGAACCGAUGAAGUAGUCUGAAAGGCUUCGGCAGUGAUGGGAGGCCGGACCCACCCCGUGGCCCAGGAAUUUCACUUCCAGCCACAGAAGCCUGGGUCCUCACGUGUCCGGGGACAUGGACAGGAGCGUGAGAACCAGGGGAAAACGACGGAUGACCCCAGUGCCCAAGACCCGAAGAAGGCAGAAAUACAGCUGAUGGAGUAGAACCACCGAGAGUGAGCUGCACACAGCUCCACACGUAAGCAGAAGCUCACUUUGGGUAUAGUGCCGAGUAACACAGGCAAGUCUGAGAGGCCCACAGAAUUGCAGCACCAUCUUCAGGUGUGAAAACAAAGCACCUCCAGGCAUUCUGACGCCGACCGUGCACACAGACCCCAGGGAGUCCUCCCUUCACCCAGCGCUUGCUGCCUCCCGGCCUUUUCUGAGGCCAGCCCAUCAAGACAGCUCCAGCCCUUCCCGGCCUCCCCCGGGCUCCCUCCAGCCCUGCAGCGAGCCCAGCAACACUGGCCGUUGCCCCACGUCCCACACCCUGCUCUCCUCCCCGCAGCUGCACGGCCAGCACCGCCCACAGGCAUCUCAAGGUGCCUGGAAGGUAGCGGACAUUCGUUUUCUAAUCCUCGUUUUUAACAGCAAGCAGCCGCCUGGGUGUUGGGGAGCUGGGCCUGCAGGGCAUCCGCACUCACCCUGGCUGGCAGGCGCUCCGGACCACCAUGCAGCUGGAGGCGGCCCCCUCCGGGAGGUGCACGGCUGCUGGGUACUUCUCCUGUGGGAGAGGAAGCGGGUACAGAAAAGUCAGUGACAGAACAGAAGCCAGGAGCCCUCACGAAGGUCUUCAGGUUGCGGGUGCGGGUAGUUGGGCAGCAUGGGGCCCUGGCGGAGACAGGGAAACUGAAGGCUCCACAAAAACCUGCUCUGGGCUCCUUUUCCUGCUUCUCUUGUUGUUAGGACCUGCACCCCCAAUUUAUACAGGCCUCAAUGUAGAUGCUGUCUGCCCUCCUCAUAAGGGACCAGGACUCAGUGGUUUCUCUAGAAGAGACCACAUCAAAGGCAGGACCAGGUGAGAAGGACUGGAAGCCAUCAUGUGGGUAUUCCAGACCCCCAGUGCUAGACACCCCGGCACCAAGGCGUCCUGGUUCCGAGGAGUAACACCUGGGCCCUCGUCUCUGCUCUCACGGUUCCUGGAUGCCUCAGGGGACGUGUGCACCAGACCACCGUCCCCAGUAAAGCCCCCCAGGCCCCAAACAAAGACGAGACUCCCUCCUUUCCUUUCCAUGUCUCCUGGAUGCUCUGUCUGUAUCUUUCUUUCUAAGUUCAGUAAACUCCGCUCUCACCUCCCGCUGGCUGGCUCACGUUUGAUUUCCAUCUUGCGCACAGCCAGGGCCCCUCUUGGCUGGUCCUGCAGGAGCGCCUCUGGGGUCUCAGACCCGGCCACCCCACUCCUGCCUCCUGUGUUCACUGGCGCUGCCUGUUCUAGAUCUUUCCACCGCCCCACGGCCCUCAUGUGCCCACACCCUCUACCCUCUACCUCUCAGUGUUAGCAGGUUAGAGAAGAGCUUCAUCCCGAUUUCACCUGUUUGUCCCCCAGGGCUCUCCGGCCUUUGGCUACACUGCCUCCCUAGACCCCUCUGCUCUGGGGUGGCCCCUCGGUCUGUCCUGUUCUCGAGACCUGGGUGGCCUGAGAAGACCAGUCACACAUGCUCUGCAGUGCUCCUUGCAACUCCCCAAGGUGAUGCGCGCCCUGACGACCGGUGCUGUCUGCCGGGAUGUUCACUGCUGUUCUCUAGAGCUUUAGCAUUUGGCCUUAAAACCCUUCAAACUGCGGCCCCUGGGCAGGCCCCUGCCAUGGUGUCCAUCCUCACACUGGCCGCCCAAUGGCUCCUGCCCAUCUGCAUGUCGGGAGCAGGGCCACUGGGGGCCCCCGUGACCUCUCUGUCAGUCUCCCCUGGCUAACAGGGUCUUGGGGAGCAUGCUCUGCCAAGCCAGCUUCACGAGGAGAUCACAUGCCAUUUCAGAGCCAAAGGUAUUCUCUCUCAAAGAGGGAGAUGGGGCGCCUGGGUGGCUCAGUUGGUUAAGCGACUGCCUUCGGCUCAGGUCAUGAUCCUGGAGUCCCGGGAUCGAGUCCCGCAUCGGGCUCUCUGCUCGGCAGGGAGUCUGCUUCUCCCUCUGCCCCUCCCCCUCUCAUGCUCUCUCUCAAAUAAAUAAAUAAAAAAAAUCUUUAAAAAAAAAAAAAAGAGGGAGAUGAAGUGGGAUUUCAUAGAUUCCCAGGCUUGCAACCCUAAGGUAGGGUUGGCUUUCCCCUCCGCCUAAUAUUGUAGAUAAAUCUGUCUUCCUAUUCCUCGCAGCAGAACUGACACCUGAACACACACCUGACUUUGAGGUCUGCUCUCCAGGGAGCGGACUGUAGGGCUGGGGGACGGCAGUGAGCCUGUGGGCUCUGGGGCAGCGUCUGAGACACAUCUCCUCUCCCUCCUCCCGCCGUGCCUGGUGUAGAAACAAGACCCCUGGGCUGACGCUGAGGUCAGCUGCGAGCCCCGCCGUGUCCCACAUGGAGCCUCACGGGACAGAGCGGCAGGGCUAGCGCUGUGGGUGGCAGAACCCGGGGCUUCAGAGGACAGGACCUUCCUGAGGACACAAGUACUCGGUGGACAGAACCCCAUCAGCCCCAAGGAGGAGGUCUUGUAGGGACAAAGACGUCUAAAGGGCUAGUGCGAAGACCAGCCUCUGCUGCCAGCGUGAGGCCCGUGCUCCCAGACCUGCAUGUGAGAGACGCCAACAGAGCAAGAUCGCAUCCAAACAUCAAGCCGUUCUGACCAAGUGCUGGGCUCGGCCUGGUUUAGGCUUACAGACAGUUUCUAACUUCAGCCAGUGUGUGUGAGCAAAUGUGUACCUGAGUGUUUUAAAUGGAAAGUGCUGGCUGACUUUUAAACCUCAAGCUCUUCUAAAUUAAUAACAGCUGUAGCUGAGCCGCACGGAGGGACACGUGAGCACGGCAGGGCAGCUCCCAGGCUGUGGGGCGGCCGCCUGAGGCCGGGGCCGGCUCCAGCGUGGGGCCCAGGGGUGCACACGUGCUGCAGGCUCAGCCUCCAGGCGGACCUCACAGCCUGGCCAGGCCUCCUCACAAGCAAAAGGAGGGUUUAGAUAAGAAGCGUUCACUAAAAGAUAUACUUCCUCUAGUUUAAAAACAAACAGGGCGCCUGGGUGGCUCAGUCAUUAAGCGGCUGCCUUCAGCUCAGGUCAUGAUCCUGGAGUCCCAGGAUCGAGUCCCGCAUCGGGCUCCCUGCUCGGCGGGGAGUCUGCUUCUCCCUCUGACCCUCCCCCCUCUCAUGCUCUCUCUCUCUCAUUCUUUCUAAUAAAAUCUUAACAAACAAACAGAAAACAAGUAGAAAUGCUGACGUUAGGAAGAGAUCUGGAGAGCUCUUUGGGGGUGCGGUAAGUCGCCUUUUACACAAGGUAGUGACGCGGCCCGUUAUCGGCUCCUCGCCCUCCGCGCACAGCACACACCGCAGGGGGGAGAGCACAGAGCAGAGCCCACGGGCCAGCAGCGUGCGGGUGGUGCUGCGGGAGAACAGAGACGCUGUGACGUGGGACGCAGCUCUGAACGCAGACGAGCACGUUUUAGCAGUGGUUAGAAGUCUUGCAUACGACUCUAUCUGAUGGGAGGUAUCGUUGGGAAGCCGGGGAACGAGCUUUGGGAUGUGGGUGCUCUGCACAUGCGGGGCGUUAGCCCUCCCCAGGAAGCCUGUCCUAAGUGGUGAUUCAACAGAGGUGUUCACUCAGCUGCUUGCCACACGCCUCGGGGUCUGCAUUCAAGAACUUCCCCGGUGUCUGUGCGGCAGAAGUGGCGGCCGGGGGGACGCUGGUUUGGGGUCAGACCCUUUCACUCCGGAGAUUGGCUUUGCUGUUGAAGUGGCUGCUGGUCCAAAGGGAACAGAAUUUGUAAGAGCAUUGGAGAAAAACCAGCCUUGCGUUUUCGUGCCCGUGAUACCAGCCCAGUGCCGAAGGGAAAGGGACCAGGCACCCUGCCUGCCUCCCACUCACACGAAUGGGAAACCUUGCAUUCUGAGCUUAAAUGCACUCCUGGGUGUCCACAGUUAAUUCAUCUUGACUUUAUGUCUGGCUGAUUCAAUGAUUUUUUUAAAAAAUUGAGAUAAAAUUCACAUAACACUCCUUUAAAGUGUAUAUAAUUCAGGGCUUUUAGUGUAUUCACAAGGUCGUACAUCAUCUCUGCAGUCCAGUGUGGAAGCCCUGCUCUUUAGCUACUGCCCCUUCACCCCUCUGUGCCCCCCAGGCAUCAGGCAGCGAGCAUGGACAGACAGUCCACAGAUGUCCCUGUUCUGGGCAUUUCAGACAAACAGAAUCAUUCGAGAUGUGUCUUGGGUCACUGGCCUCUUUGACUUGCACGUUUUCAGGGUGUGAGCACGCGGUAGCCGACCUCCAUGCUCACUCCUUUGCGCGGCUGAGUAACACCCCACUGUUCAUCCAUUCGUCAGCUGAUGGGCACGUGGGGGUUCUUUGCUUUUUGGCUACCGGAAACAAUGCUGCUGUGAACACGGGUGGGCACAUGCGUUCUCCUUCCUCAUGGUUAUGCGCCUGGGAGCAGCACCACUGAGAUUUAUGGAAAUCCACGUAACCAUGGAGGAACUGCCCAACUGCUGCCCAUGGCGGCCGCCCGCCUUCAUGAUUCCAUCAGCAUUGUCUGAGGGUCCUGAUUUCUCUGUCUCCUUGCUGACAACGUUGGUCAUCACCCCCUCUUAGAAACUGUUCUUGUCCUCCUGGUGGGUGUGAGGUGGAAGGUCACUGUGGAUUUGCAUUUCCCUGAUUUUCUCUGAUGGCCAUGGAUGCUGAGCCUCUUCACAUGUGUUCAUUCAUCUGCACACCUCCUCUGGAGAAAUGUGUGUUCAGAUCCUUUGCCUAAUUUUUAAACUGGGCUGUUUUUCUUUUUAUUAUCGAAUUAUAAUAGUUCUUUAUAUAGUCUGGAUACAAA